RNAcentral lists this ribosomal RNA (456 nucleotides) under uncultured bacterium. RNAcentral describes it as "partial 16S ribosomal RNA". It matches the Rfam family "Bacterial small subunit ribosomal RNA", at positions 29 to 522 of the family's 1533-position model. The record is from RNAcentral.
AACGAACGCUGGCGGCAUGCCUAACACAUGCAAGUCGAACGGGAUCCUAGCUUGCUAGGUGAGAGUGGCGGACGGGUGAGUAACACGUGGGAAUCUGCCCUUUGGUCCGGGAUAACCGCGGGAAACUGCGGCUAAUACCGGAUGUCCUCGCGAGAGGAAAGAUUUAUCGCCAGAGGAGGAGCCCGCGUCCGAUUAGGUAGUUGGUGGGGUAAAGGCCUACCAAGCCGACGAUCGGUAGCUGGUCUGAGAGGAUGAUCAGCCACACUGGGACUGAGAUACGGCCCAGACUCCUACGGGAGGCAGAAGUGGGGAAUAUUGGACAAUGGGGGCAACCCUGAUCCAGCAAUGCCGCGUGAGUGAUGAAGGCCUUAGGGUUGUAAAGCUCCUUUGCCAGGGAAGAUGAUGACUGUACCUGGAGAAUAAGCCCCGGCUAACUUCGUGCCAGCAGCCGCGGUA